GAGUUUGAUCGUGGCUCAGAACGAACGCUGGCGGCAUGCCUAACACAUGCAAGUCGAACGAGACCUUCGGGUCUAGUGGCGCACGGGUGCGUAACGCGUGGGAAUCUGCCCUUCGGUUCGGAAUAACUCAGGGAAACUUGAGCUAAUACCGGAUGAUGACUUCGGUCCAAAGAUUUAUCGCCGAGGGAUGAGCCCGCGUAGGAUUAGCUUGUUGGUGAGGUAAAAGCUCACCAAGGCGACGAUCCUUAGCUGGUCUGAGAGGAUGAUCAGCCACACUGGGACUGAGACACGGCCCAGACUCCUACGGGAGGCAGCAGUGGGGAAUAUUGCGCAAUGGGCGAAAGGCCUGAUCCAGCAAUGCCGCGUGAGUGAUGAAGCCUUAGGGUUGUAAAGCUCUUUUACCCGGGAUGAUAAUGACAGUACCGGGAGAAUAAGCCCCGGCUAACUCCGUGCCAGCCGCCGCGGUAAAC
This 470-nucleotide ribosomal RNA is filed under the name uncultured Alphaproteobacteria bacterium. Its description in RNAcentral is "bacterial SSU rRNA". It matches the Rfam family "Bacterial small subunit ribosomal RNA", at positions 9 to 525 of the family's 1533-position model. Lineage: Bacteria; Pseudomonadati; Pseudomonadota; Alphaproteobacteria. The record is from RNAcentral.